GUCAAAAGCAAAAUACUUCGGACUGCGGAGUGGCUACAGAAAUUGAAAUCUACAGACGAUUUGAGGGAGUCAUCGACACGUCUGGGCCCUAUGGCUGACCACCUACAGUAGAUCGCCUAUGUAGAGGCCCAGCUGCUGAAGAUCAUUGCUGUGCGGUCCUGCUGAUAAUGACUGGGAAGACCUUUAUUUUGUAAAAUAAACGAUGAUAAAAACAAGGCAUCUCCAGACGGGGCGUCAACGUCACAGCUAGUCAGCAGGUUUGUGAAAUAUUUACUGCGGAUGAUGGUUCAUGAAGAAUACAUGAGGACAGUGGAGCAGUGCUUUACGGCCUUGUAGCUGUGCAAACCCCUGCCAGGAAGGACUGCUGCUCGCUCAGCUGACAAAGUUUUCACUGGGCUGCCUGGCAUGAAAAGAUUUCAGAUACAUGAUGCAAGCUGCAUCCAAACCACCCAUAGUCAUCUCUGACCCUUACCCAUAAUUCUAUAUAAAUGAGCUGGACAUUAUCUUCUAUUAAAGAUACAAAGAAGGUCUGCACUCUAAAAGAGACUUUAAUAAAAGUUCA
Molecule: long non-coding RNA, 562 nt
Organism: Megalobrama amblycephala (Wuchang bream)
Lineage: Eukaryota; Metazoa; Chordata; Actinopteri; Cypriniformes; Xenocyprididae
Exons: 4
Source: RefSeq, a predicted model, not a curated record